Molecule: ribosomal RNA, 440 nt
Filed under: uncultured bacterium
Lineage: Bacteria
Description: partial 16S ribosomal RNA
Rfam family: Bacterial small subunit ribosomal RNA
Source: RNAcentral
CCUACGGGUGGCAGCAGUGGGGAAUAUUGCACAAUGGGCGAAACCCUGAUGCAGCGACGCCGCGUGAGUGAUGAAGGACUUCGUGAUGUAAAGCUCUGUCAGCAAGGAAGAAAAUGACGGUACCUGAGUAAGAAGCCCCGGCUAACUACGUGCCAGCAGCCGCGGUAAUACGUAGGGUGCUAGCGUUAAUCGGAAUUACUGGGCGUAAAGCGCUCGUAGGGGGUUUGUUAAGUCAAGGGUGAAAACCCUCCGGUCAACGCGGGUAAAGCCUUUGAAACUGGGAAACUGGAGUGUGGGAGAGGAUAGUGGAAUUCCAGGUGUAGGAGUGAAAUCCGUAGAUAUCUGGAGGAACAUCAGUGGCGAAGGCGACUAUCUGGAAUAUAACUGACGCUGAGGAGCGAAAGCGUGGGUAGCAAACAGGAUUAGAUACCCGAGUAGUC